RNAcentral lists this ribosomal RNA (478 nucleotides) under uncultured bacterium. RNAcentral describes it as "partial 16S ribosomal RNA". It matches the Rfam family "Bacterial small subunit ribosomal RNA", at positions 28 to 523 of the family's 1533-position model. The record is from RNAcentral.
GACGAACGCUGGCGGCGUGCUUAACACAUGCAAGUCGAACGGUAAGGCCCUUCGGGGUACACGAGUGGCGAACGGGUGAGUAACACGUGGGUGAUCUGCCCUGCACUUCGGGAUAAGCCUGGGAAACUGGGUCUAAUACCGGAUAGGACCACUGCCUGCAUGGGUGGUGGUGGAAAGCUUUUGCGGUGUGGGAUGGGCCCGCGGCCUAUCAGCUUGUUGGUGGGUUGAUGGCCUACCAAGGCGACGACGGGUAGCCGGCCUGGGAGGGUGACCGGCCACCAUGGGACUGAGAUACGGCCCAGACUCCUACGGGAGGCAGCAGUGGGGAAUAUUGCACAAUGGGCGCAAGCCUGAUGCAGCGACGCCGCGUGAGGGAUGACGGCCUUCGGGUUGUAAACCUCUUUCAGCACCGACGAAGCGCAAGUGACGGUAGGUGCAGAAGAAGGACCGGCCAACUACGUGCCAGCAGCCGCAGUAA